CACACACAGUCAGACACAUACACAAACACACACACAGUCAGACACACACACAAACAGUCAGACACAAACACACACACAUACACAGUCAGACACACACACACACACACAGUCAGACACACACACACACACACACACAUACACAGUCAGACACAAACACACACAGUCAGACACAAACACACACACAAACACACACAGACACAUACACACACACAAACACAGUCAGACACAUACACAGACACAAACACACACACACACACUCACAAACACACACACAGUCAGACACAAACACACACACACACACACACACAAACACACACACAUUAACUUUUUUUUUAAUUUAAAUCCCCCCCCAACCUCCUUACCUUUGGGAGUGCUGGGGGGGGGUCUCUCUCCCUGGUGGUCCAGUGGCUGCAGGGCGUGCGGCG
Molecule: non-coding RNA, 425 nt
Organism: Pelobates cultripes (western spadefoot toad)
Lineage: Eukaryota; Metazoa; Chordata; Amphibia; Anura; Pelobatidae
Source: the annotation of a GenBank genome assembly